GAGGAGGAUCCUGCAGGCUGCCAGCUGGCUUCUGGAGUGCCUGAGUGUGCUGCAGGCCGCAGCGGACACGCCAGCAGUGCUGGCUGCUUUCCAGGCCUUCUCCGAGGCCCUGCUCCUGCUGAGCAGCCUGACAGCAAAGCGCCUCGAGGAACUGGGGGACUGUCCUCGACAGAAGAGCUUGGCUCAAACCUUGCAGCUCCUCCAGCAGCGUGUCCCUCUGCUGCACGCAGCCAAGGACAAGCAUCUUAAACACUCCCGGGAUCAGCAAGUCAGCUGCUCCAAGGAUGAUGCUUUCCAGCUGGUGGAGAGGACCAUCAAGGAGCUCAUGUCCCUGCUCACUGAUGACACAGGGAGCAAGGAGCCAUGGGACAGAAGCGGGACCUUCUCCGAGCACGUGAGCAGGCUGCUGGCUCUCCUGUCCCCCCCAGACCCCCUGCUCCUCUCUGACAGCACCUUCAGUGCUCACGUGGGAGCGGUGGUUUUCCACUGCAUGCUCCUGGCAGAGGCAUCCAGGCCACAUCAAAGGCUGGACCUGGUCAGACGUUGCUGGGUUCUGCUACGGCUGCGGAAGAGCAUCUGCAGCCUCGCAGGGCAGCAGGAGAGGGGCCCAGGGCUGGAGGGGGAAUGUCAUUCCAUGAGGCAGGAGGUGCAGGACCUCGACCAGGUGGUGCUCGCAGCGACACUGUGCCAGGUCCUCGACACCUUCCCUGGGGGUAAGGAGCCCCUGAGGCUGUUGGUUGAAGGUGCCCUCAGCCUUGCUGCUCCGGGGUGUUUUCCUGCAGGACAAGGAGGGUUUUUAAAGCAGCUGCAGCCCCUCAUUGCUGCCUUCUUCACACAUGCCCAAGGGAUGCUCCGAGCGGCAGACUUUGUCCUGGCUCGGUGCCCCAAGCCCCACACUGCUGGAGACAUCAGGGAGCUGGUGCAGCACCUGAGGAGGCUCCUCGCCAGCGUCCCUCCUCUGCUCGCUGCAGUGAGCAGGGAUGGAGCCCAGGCGAGUGCUGCUGAGCAGCUGCAGUCCCUGUGCCACGCGUGGGCUGGCGCAGCACAGAGCCUGCUGUGGUGCUUUGAGGACACAGUCAGCACUCGUGAAUUCCUUAAGCUGUCCAUCCGGGAGAUGGCCAAGGAGCGGGAAUGGUGUGAAAGGGCCCUGGGGAGCCAGGACCCCGAGAGGUUCUCUUGGCACACAACCCACCUCAGCAGCUGGGCUCGGUGGGUGGUGGAAGCCACCACCAGGUACGUGGACAGAGCCACAGACCCCAUCUUCAGGAAUGGUUUGCUGGUUUGGGUCGAGCAACUGGCCAGCUCCAUCCUCGAGCUGAAAGCAGCUGCAGCCCUUUGUGCAGAGAGACCCUCCUGCCCCCAAACCAGGGAUGUCUUUUCCAAGGCAGCGAGCUGCCUGAUGGACGCUGCUCAGCGUGUCCAGGACGGGCUGGAUGGCUCCAACCACCCAGACAUCCUCAGCCCGCUGCGGGAACAAGUGCGAGGCGCUCCUUUUGCGAAGGGGGUUGAGCUCAGCCCAUCGUGUGCUGGGCUAAAAACCAUAAUGGAUGAGGCUGUGUUGCAAGAAGACACCUUAAGCCAUCCAUCUUCACAAGCAGGUAGCUCGCACCCAAGGAAAGGAGGCGCACACCCUGUGAUCACAGCUCUGCUGGCAGCAAGAGGAGCCCAUGACACGCCAUUGCUCAGUGCUGCUUGCUCUGCCUUGCUCGAGCUCUCCAGAGGCUGCGUGGAUGCAGCAAAGGAAGCGCUGUCCCUUGCUGAGUGUCCGCACAGGGAGACACUGGGGCAGUACCAGGAGAUUGAGCUUCUGACACCACGUGUGAUCAGCCUGGCCAGGGACACGGCCCCAGAGCAGCGUCCUUGCCCAAGUGAGCUUUUCCACGUGGCCCUCACGCUCUCAGAAAGGAUCUGCCACACCAAGGAGUGCCUGGCAGCCGUGGCAGGCUCCUGGUACAGUCUGUCUCAGCAAGUGUUUGUCUUUAUCUUGUCUGCUGACUUCCUGAGGGGCAAACAGGCUUUGGAGGAGACCAUGAUGGGAUUAGCAGGAGCAGUUCAGUUCGCAGCAGACAUUGUGAGUAUCACCUGCAGGGAGGGAAGCCCCCUCUCCCCUGAUGGCUGGGGGAGCUUUCUGCAGGUCCAAGCCAAGUUUUCACGCGCUCGGAUGAUCACCAGAGCACUGCUUGGGAAGGCAGCAUCCUUCGAGGGCUCCAGCGUGGUGGGCAGGGCCAGCCUGGAGCUGCUCUGUGUGCAGUGGGCUGUCAGCGCACACGUCCUGCUGGGCGCUGUGGAUCGGUUCCUAGGCAGGGAUGUGCUGCUCCUGAGGGAGCUGAGGAGUGCUGUGAGGAACAAGCUCUGCCCUCAGAGCCUCCUGGCUGCGCUGUCCGAGCGCUCCCUGAGGCUGCAGGAGGCUGCCCGGCUCUCCUCCUCGUCCUGCCCUGAGGGCCAUGGGCACACUGAGAUCCUAGUGCUCAGGGAGGAGAUGCAGGUGCUGAUGGAAGCGCUGCUGGAGGCCUCCAGCACCCUCCUGCUCUCCCCGCUGCCUGCUGCCAGCCUGUGCGUUCGCUUUGAGCUCCUGCAGAGGGACCUGGCCCUCCGGGCCAAGGCGCUGCUGCUCCACCUGGAGAGGGUCAAUGCCGAACACUUGCGGGUCAUCAGAGACGUGGUUGGACCUGCCCUGACCCCCCUCUCCCAAGAGGAGAGGGAAAGGAGCAAAGAGGCCUUUGAAGAGAAGGCAAAGAGGCUGAUGGCAAAUGUCCAGUGGGUCAAAACCACCCUCCACCAUGUUCUGGAGGCCAACACUCAACCGGAGCUGGAGGCAAACCUGCUCUCCAUCGCAGACCACCUCCUGCUCCUCACGUCCAACGCAGUGGGCAGCGCCAGGCAGCUCCUCCAGAGCCACCAGGGUGAAGAGCAUCUCCACCUAGAGAGCACUGUCUGGUACUGGUCUGCAGAGGCACACUACCUCGUCACACAGCUUCAGGCUGUCCAGGGCAUCGGUGGGGAUGUUGUGGAGCUCAUCAAACACUGCCUGCAGAACACAGGGGACCAGAGCUUCCCAGGACACCACCACAGCACAGCCAAGCUCUUCCCAGCCCUGGAGCUGGAUGCUCUGAGCCACGCCAGGUCAGCAGAGACCUGCGCCAGCAGGAGCGGACGAGCAAGAGGAGCUGCCAGGGAGGCACCUGCAAGGCACCGCAAAGGCCCUCCCAGCACCUCCCCUGCCAGCAGCCCUGUGAAGCACGAGAGAGAAAGCAGUGACACGGGGCAGGGUGGCCCCAGCAAGAUGUCCCAGGUCACCAAGGACAUGGCAACAAGGAUGCGCCACAUGACUCAGUUCCUGAAGAAGAAGGGCCCCAUCACAAGCAAGGACCAGCUCGUUGCCUGUGCGAGGCAGAUGGCUUUGGAUGGGCAGGAGUUUGUCACCUUUGGCCGUGCCGUGGCCAAGCUCUGCCUGGACAGGAGGUGCUCCAUGGAGCUGCUCUGUGCCACCGAGCAGGCCCACACCAUCAGCAGCCAGCUCGGCAUCGUGGCCAGGGUAAAAGCAGUCACUGCAGAGAGCAAAUCCUCCUCCGAGCUGCUCGUGAGCAACACACAGAACCUUGUUCAAGCGGUUUUGCACAUCCUGAAGGCAGCUGAGGCAGCGUGUAUCAAAGUAAGUCCAUGCUGAUGGCAUCCGAUGGGCUUUGCAAGGUGAGUCCGUGCUGUGGGGAGCUCUUACAGCCAGGCCUGGUAAUGGGAGGUGGGAGCUGCCUGCUGUGGGACCUCUGUUGGCUCCCGUGAUCUUAUUUCGUGCCUCUGCCUUGUUUCCAAAGCCCACCACGCAUCCUCCCAAGCAUCAAUAGGCUCUGUCACUGCUACCAACUCUGAAGUCCUUUUAGCUGCUCUGUCUCCCAUCUCAUUUUGGGACAGGAGAGCAGCAGCAUCUCACUGGAGAUCUGCAUUUGGAAAUGGUCCAUGUUGGUCUCAGCCUUUAUGUUGUCUCAAGAUGAGCUUUGAUCGACACCCCCAAGAGCUUCCCUUGGGUGGCUGAUUGAUCCAACUGUACAGCUUGUGAGAGCAGCUUUACCUGAAAGCACUCAGGAACAAGCACAAGCACAACCAGAGCCUCCUCUGAGGUGCUUUUCCACCCUGUGCCCAGUCUCCUGUGUAAUCCUACAACUUGUGCUGAGCUUUCUGACUCUUUCUGGAAGAGACACUUUUUGUUAGGACCCUCUUUGAUGGACACUCAGCCACAAGGGUGAAAAAGCUCCUCCUGUGGUUUAUUACUGCUAAAAACAUGAUAUACGUCCAUUUCUCACUGAUGCCAGCCUGAAGGAACGAGCCAUGCUUUUAUCUUUGCCUAGAUUACAAACUCCUUUACAACCUGGCUUCUUCCCUUUGGAAAUUGCCCUAAACUACCCCUCCUGCCCUCCUUUCCUCAUUCUGUAAGCAGGUUUUGAAGCACUUUGAAAGCAUUAACAGGUAGAGAUGCCACACUGGUCUCACACACAUUGAUACACUCAGACGUUUAUAUCGUUUAAGGCAUUUUAAACAAGUUCAUGCACACUAUAUUAAAGCACACAAAUAUUCUGUCUCGCAGGGUCUGUGCCAGCCCACGCCUGACUCUGAGGAAGCAGCAGCAGCUGCUUUUUGCAUGCAGUGGAGAAGAAACCUGUUGUUGCACAGAGCCAAAGAGUCCUUCACCUCAGACAGGGAUGAACUGGGGCUGCGCAGGACUGGGGCCAGCGCUGAACCCUCCCUGGUGGCGAUGGUGCAAGAACAAGCACCACACACCAAGGACACCCCCAAGCACCCAAAGCCUGGUUUAGGAUGUACAGUUAUGGGUGGCCACCUGUAGAAAGAGGAAGGGAUUUGUGCUUCCUUUGGGUGAGUGAACAGAGAAGAAUGAUGCCACGAUACAGGGCAGGCAGCAUGUGAUGAGGUACCUUCACUAUCUGCCAGUUCUGUGUUCUCCAGCACCCAAGAUGUGAACAGAAGGAUGUAGGAACACACUCAUGGCACCACCAGCAGAUCUGCCUGGGGGGAAUAUGUAGGGACAGGCCAAGGGGAAUGGCUUUAACCUGCCAGAGGGGAGAUUGAGAUGAGCUCUGAGGCAGAAGCUCUUCCCUGUGAGGGUGCUGAGGCGCUGGCACAGACUUUUCCCAGAGAAGCUGUGGCUGCCCCAUCCCUGGCAGUGUUCAAGGCCAGGUUGGACACAGGGGCUUGGAGCAACCUGCUCUAGUGGAAGGUGUCCCUGCCCGUAGCAGGGGGUUGGAGCUGGAUCAGCUUUAAGGUCCCUCCAACCCAAACCAGGCUGGGAUUCUAUAAGGGAUCAGGGGGUUCUGUGAACAACCCAAUUGCUCAUCUCCCACACGAGAAAGCCACUGAGCUGAAAGGUCCUUCUCAGGCCCUGAUCUUCAGCACUUUAUCAAACCUUUUUGCAACCAUCUCAGGGUAACAAUCCUAAACACUGCACAGGAAGGGCGGGCAGAGAGAGAGCGCCCUGCAGAGGAGCCAGUGCACUGGGCUCAUACACCAGACAUGAAGUCAAGAGGGUAAAUUGCACCAUAGAAGCUAGAGGAAAGAUGCACUGAACGAGAAGGAAGCCUAAGGGAGUUAAUGAGGGAUCACUGAGGUCUGAAACACAAAACAGGAGUGUAAUUGUUCUGUCUUUGCAAGAAUAAAUGGAU
Molecule: long non-coding RNA, 5669 nt
Organism: Strigops habroptila (Kakapo)
Lineage: Eukaryota; Metazoa; Chordata; Aves; Psittaciformes; Psittacidae
Source: Ensembl